AUGGCGCUGCCGCUGGUCCUGCUGGUUCUGCUCGCCGCCGUGGCGGCGGCGAGGGAGGCGCACGGGUACGUGGCGUACAACACGAGCGCGGGGACGGUGGCCGGGCUGCUGAACGUGCACCUGGUGCCGCACUCCCACGACGACGUCGGCUGGCUCAAGACCGUCGACCAGUACUACGUCGGGUCCAACAACUCCAUCCAGGGCGCGUGCGUGAUGAACACGCUGGACUCCGUGGUGGACGCACUGGCGAGGGACCCUGGCCGCAAGUUCGUCGUCGCGGAGCAGGCCUUCUUCCAAAGGUGGUGGGUAGAGAAAAGCCCAAAAAUGCAGGCCAUAGUGCACAAGCUAGUUGAUUCUGGUCAGCUCGAGUUCAUAAAUGGUGGGUGGUGUAUGCAUGAUGAAGCUGCCACCCAUUAUAUUGACAUGAUUGAUCAGACCACACUUGGUCAUCGGGUGAUUAAAAAACAAUUCAACAAGACUCCAAGAGCUGGCUGGCAAAUCGAUCCUUUCGGUCAUUCUGCUGUGCAAGCUUAUUUGCUAGGAACAGAGCUUGGUUUUGAUUCUGUGCACUUUGCAAGAAUUGAUUACCAAGAUAGGGCAAAGCGUAAAGACGAUAAAGGCCUGGAAGUUAUAUGGCAGGGCUCAAGAACAUUUGGUUCAUCUUCUCAGAUCUUUACGAAUGCAUUUCCUGUCCAUUAUAGCCCUCCCGAUGGGUUUAGUUUUGAAGUUUUGAAUGACAUGACACCUGUUCAGGAUGACCCGUUGCUGUUUGACACUAAUGUUGAACAACGCGUUAAUGAUUUUGUUUCUGCAGCCAUAGCACAGGCAAACGUUACGCGUACAAACCACAUAAUGUGGACCAUGGGUGAUGAUUUUAAUUAUCAGUAUGCUGAAUCCUGGUUCCGGAAUAUGGAUAGACUUAUUCAUUACAUGAACAAGGAUGGACGAGUGCAUGCGCUGUAUUCUACUCCAUCCAUUUACACUGAUGCAAAACAUGCAUCAAAUGAAUCUUGGCCACUCAAACGCGAUGAUUAUUUCCCAUAUGCUGAUUCAACAAAUGCUUACUGGACUGGGUAUUUUACUAGCCGUCCAACUUUCAAGGGAUAUGUUCGAAUGCUCAGUGGAUAUUACCUGGCUGCACGUCAAAUAGAAUUUCUUGUGGGAGGAUCAUUCACUUCUAGCUUGGAAGACCCACUGGGAAUCGCCCAGCAUCAUGAUGCCGUCUCAGGAACAGCAAAACAACACACAACUGAUGAUUACUCGAAACGCCUUGCUCUCGGAGCAUCUCAGGUUGAGAAAGGUGUAAAUACUGCUCUGGCUUGUCUGACAAGCUCUAAGGGAACAUGUAUGUCUCCAGCAGUAAAGUUCAGUCAGUGCCAACUGCUCAAUAUAAGCUACUGCCCUUCAACUGAGGAACAAAUUUCAGGAGGAAAGGGUUUAGUUAUAACUGCUUAUAAUCCUCUUGGGUGGGAACAUAGUGACUUCAUACGGGUUCCGGUCAAUGACUUACACCUAGUCGUAAAAAGCUCUGAUGGAAGUUUUGUCGAUUCACAACUAGUUGAGGUAGAUAAUGUGACUAGCAAUUUAAGGAAGUUGUAUGUGAAGGCUUAUCUCGGAAUCAAUACAGACAAACCCCCGAAAUAUUGGCUAGUGUUUCAAGCUUCUGUGCCACCAAUGGGAUGGAAUACUUAUUUCGUCUCAAAGCCCAAGGGAGCAGGAUCUAACAGAAUGGGGUAUGUCUCAACCAUCGCUUCUCCAAGCAAAGACACAGUUGAAGUUGGACCAGGGUCUCUAAAGAUGACAUUUUCGUCAGAAUCUGGACAACUUACGCGGAUGUUCAAUUCUAUCACAGGAGUGGAUUUACCAAUUCAACAGAGCUUUCUUUGGUAUGGUUCAAAUAAUGGUGAUGGCGCGGAUUCACAGGCAUCUGGAGCUUAUAUUUUUAGACCAGAUGGGUCUACACCGACUGUUGUUUCAAGAUCGGUACCGUUAAAAGUCAUCCGUGGACCUCUGGUUGAUGAAGUCCACCAGCAAUUCAGCCCGUGGAUUUAUCAGGUUACAAGACUAUAUAAGGAUAAGGAGCAUGCUGAAGUAGAAUACACGAUUGGGCCAAUCCCGGUCAAUGAUGGCAUAGGAAAGGAGGUCAUCACAAGACUGACAGCAAAUAUGGUCACAAACCACACUUUUUAUACAGAUUCGAAUGGAAGGGAUUUUCUCAAGAGGGUGAGAGACUACAGGGAAGAUUGGGAUCUUCAAGUGACUCAACCGGUUGCAGGAAAUUACUAUCCCAUCAAUCUCGGAAUGUAUGUAACAGAUGGGAAAUAUGAACUUAGUGUCCUUGUUGAUCGUGCUGUUGGAGCUUCAAGCAUUCAGGAUGGUCAAAUAGAAAUGAUGUUCCACAGGCGUAUACUUCAUGAUGAUGGCAGAGGUGUGGAGGAGCCACUGGAUGAAACUGUUUGUGUUGACAGAAAAUGUGAUGGGCUCGUGGCUAGGGGUACUUAUUAUGUCAAUGUCAACAAGCUUGGACAUGGAGCUCACUGGCGGAGGACACAAGGACAAAAAGUUUAUUCACCCUUUCUUCUUGGUUUCGCUCAUGAGGAUGAGAGCAGUUGGAAAUCCUACAGUGUUGUGAAAGCGAGCAUGAUGAAUGCAAAUUACAGUCUUCCUGAUAAUGUGGCAAUCAUCACCUUGCAGAGUCUCGAUGAUGGUACCGCACUUCUCCGCUUGGCACAUUUGUUUCAGGCUGCGGAGGACCCACAGUACUCAGUGAUGGCAAAAGUUGAACUGAAAAAAUUGUUUGGAAAGAAAACUAUCAAGGAAUGGACUGAAACUAACCUGUCUGCCAACCAAAAGAAGGCGGCGAUGAGGAAGCUCAAGUGGAGGGUUGUCGGAGACACCGAAAGUGGUCCUGCCCCAAUUACCGGUAGCCCGGUUGACAGUCAAUCCCUUGUUGUCGAGCUGGGGCCCAUGGAGAUACGCACAUUCUUGCUGAAACUGUGA
Molecule: ribosomal RNA, 3000 nt
Filed under: Triticum aestivum (bread wheat)
Lineage: Eukaryota; Viridiplantae; Streptophyta; Magnoliopsida; Poales; Poaceae
Description: partial small subunit ribosomal RNA
Source: RNAcentral